Molecule: ribosomal RNA, 862 nt
Filed under: uncultured Caminicella sp.
Lineage: Bacteria; Bacillati; Bacillota; Clostridia; Peptostreptococcales; Caminicellaceae
Description: bacterial SSU rRNA
Rfam family: Bacterial small subunit ribosomal RNA
Source: RNAcentral
UGCAGUCGAGCGGACCAAUGCUCAUUUCAGCUUUACUGAUUUGAGCAUUGGUUAGCGGCGGACGGGUGAGUAACGCGUGGGCAACCUGCCCUGUGCAGGGGGAUAACACAGCGAAAGCUGUGCUAAUACCCCAUAAGACUACGCUAUCGCAUGAUAGAGUAGUCAAAGCUUUAGCGGCACAGGAUGGGCCCGCGUCUGAUUAGCUAGUUGGUGGGGUAACGGCCUACCAAGGCGACGAUCAGUAGCCGACCUGAGAGGGUGAUCGGCCACACUGGAACUGAGACACGGUCCAGACUCCUACGGGAGGCAGCAGUGGGGAAUAUUGCACAAUGGGGGAAACCCUGAUGCAGCAACGCCGCGUGAGCGAAGAAGGCCUUCGGGUCGUAAAGCUCUGUCCUAAGGGAAGAAGUAUGACGGUACCUUAGGAGGAAGCCCCGGCUAACUACGUGCCAGCAGCCGCGGUAAUACGUAGGGGGCGAGCGUUAUCCGGAAUCACUGGGCGUAAAGGGUGCGUAGGCGGCCGAGUAAGCCAGAGGUGAAAGGCUACGGCUUAACCGUAGUAAGCCUUUGGAACUACUUGGCUUGAGUGCAGGAGAGGAGAGUGGAAUUCCUAGUGUAGCGGUGAAAUGCGUAGAUAUUAGGAGGAACACCAGUGGCGAAGGCGACUCUCUGGACUGUAACUGACGCUGANGCACGAAAGCGUGGGGAGCAAACAGGAUUANAUACCCUGGUAGUCCACGCCGUAAACGAUGAGUGCUAGGGUGUCGGGGGUUCACACCCUCGGUGCCGGAGUUAACGCAAUAAGCACUCCGCCUGGGGAGUACGGUCGCAAGACUGAAACUCAAAGGAAUUGACGGGGACC